This 422-nucleotide ribosomal RNA is filed under the name uncultured bacterium. RNAcentral's name for it is "bacterial SSU rRNA". It matches the Rfam family "Bacterial small subunit ribosomal RNA", at positions 355 to 774 of the family's 1533-position model. The record is from RNAcentral.
UAAGGAAUAUUGGUCAAUGGACGCAAGUCUGAACCAGCCAUGCCGCGUGGAGGAUGAAGGUCCUCUGGAUUGUAAACUUCUUUUAUCUGGGACGAAACACUUCUUUUCUAAGAGGCCUGACGGUACCAGAUGAAUAAGCACCGGCUAACUCCGUGCCAGCAGCCGCGGUAAUACGGAGGGUGCAAGCGUUAUCCGGAUUCACUGGGUUUAAAGGGUGCGUAGGUGGGUAUGUAAGUCAGUGGUGAAAUCCCCGAGCUUAACUUGGGAACUUCCAUUGAUACUAUAUAUCUUGAAUACCGUAGAGGUAAGCGGAAUAUGUCAUGUAGCGGGGAAAUGCUUAGAUAUGACAUGGAACACCAAUUGCGAAGGCAGCUUACUAUGCGGUGAUUGACACUGAGGCACGAAAGCGUGGGUAGCAAACA